Molecule: long non-coding RNA, 982 nt
Organism: Mastomys coucha (southern multimammate mouse)
Lineage: Eukaryota; Metazoa; Chordata; Mammalia; Rodentia; Muridae
Exons: 3
Source: RefSeq, a predicted model, not a curated record
CUGUGAGGCUCAGAUAUUGGGAUACAGUCUCCAACUAGAUCCAGUUCAGGUCUAGGCUAUCAGAAAGCAUAUGGGGAGGCUAUGCAAAGAAAGUCCAAAGGAACCUGGCAGCUGGAGUUGUGUGUCUGGCUGCCUGAAUCUCAGUGGGAGGGAAGGGUCUCCAAGGGGCAGAGAUACCAUCAGGACCAGGAGAGUAAAGGGGAACAGAAAGUAAUUGGAUGGACUCUACAAAGGUAACUAAGGACGAGAAAGAGCCCAGCCUGAAAAAGUUUAGAGCUUCUGGAAUAGGGUUGUGUUGUGCAGGUCUAGGAAAUAUGCUCCAGAUAUCCAGGCCAGAGUGGUAGGAAAAUCCACCAUUCCCUUUAUUACCUGGGGAAGCCACAUGUUCCCUAACUACAGGCAUUUUACCCAUGUCCGGUUCUGUCUCGGAACUCCCAACCUAUUCAAAGAUGCAUUUUCCUGGCUGUGGGAGGAGAGUCAGCACACAGCUGAGCUGCAGCAAGAACCACAGCUGGGUGACCCUGGAACCUCCCAGAUCAGAGGAGAUGAAGGGGUGGGAAAAGGGAAGGAGGGAAGCAGGGUUGUGUUUCCAACAACUGUUCCUAAGGAAGUAGCUCUCAGCUCUUGAAAUUCUGUUGGGGAUAUCUUAUCAUCACCAAUUAGGUCAAGAUCCUAUGACUUGGGGUUUAACAUGAUUUUUCCAGAUAUGGUUGCUAGAGAUGUUGUGUUUUAUAAAGAAGAGAACAAGUCAAGGGUAACAGUUGGAAACAAAAUGUAGGACUCCAUGAACAUGGCCUUUUCUAGACUGUUGCUAAGGACAGUGUAGCAUGAGGCCCCAGAAGAUUUCAAGAUCUCUGAGAAAGAACCCACAGGAUGGAACUCCAAUUUAAAAGAUGAAAAACAAAUUUGUUUCCUUUGCCAGUUGGAGAGAUGUUGCAAAAGGUGAAAACCAAGGAUGGAGUUAUUAAAUGCAUAAACUAUA